UCACUGGCCAGCCUGGUCACCAGGAGCUGUCUGGGCCACCACAUCUUCCUCAUCUACCUAAUCCCUCACCAGGGCAAGGUCUACAGCAUCUCUCCCCAAACAGACCUAAAGUCAGAGACUUCCCCUUUACUCGGAACAGCCUGGCACCUCUGCCGGACCAAAAAUUUCUAUCUGGAGAACCCCUGAGAACGAACCGGGUGCUUCCAGCGAUUCCAAGCCAGAGGGGACAUGACCCACCAGCUGAAGAGAGCGAGUGGUCCUCCAGUCCCACCCACGAUGAAAACUGACUGCAGGUUGCUCUGUGGAAAUAUAGAAGACUUUAAUUUUUCAACUUUCCAAGGGUGAGAUUACUCUAGUUUAUAUGAGCAAAGUCUUAAUUUUAGUAAGCUGCGUUCUACAAGCCACUUACGGUUUUAUAAUUCAAGGUUCCUCAUUUCAAAUAAAUACACUUCCUAAAUACUCACUUAGAAUCUCCAGGUGUGCAAACAUCACCCAGUCUAUGAGUUUCUGUGGACCCCCGCCCUCAACACACUGUAAUUCAGAAACAAAAUACACACCUGAAAGGAAGGUUUAGGUACGUUUCAUUUAUGUUUGUGCCAUGUUUGCUGCUUUGUCUGGGUUUUUUUUUUGUUUGUUUGUUUGUUUGUUUGUUUUUGUUUUUCUUAUUUGGUGAUUUUAUGUAUAUUUUUAAGAGUAUGCUUUGCUGAAUAAAAAAAGAAGAAGAAGAAAAGC
This 732-nucleotide long non-coding RNA is filed under the name Rattus norvegicus (Norway rat). RNAcentral describes it as "long non-coding RNA NONRATT015016". The record is from RNAcentral. Lineage: Eukaryota; Metazoa; Chordata; Mammalia; Rodentia; Muridae.